CAUGAACUGUGAGAUCAUGACCUGACCCCAAGUAGGACGCUUAACGGACUGAGCCACCCAGGCGCCCCUACAAGAUGAUUUUUAAAGAUAAUUUCAGAUUGAACCAAAGAGCUAGGAGGUGACAGUUCAGUCUCAUACUCAGAUUUGGGGGCUGGGAAGCUUUGCUAAUCCCACCGCUACCCCCACCCCGCCACCCCCGCAAAACCAGAGAAAUGUAACCGUUCUACUGUGAGAGCACCCAAAGGCGGAUCUCGGAAAAUAGAGAGUCCUGGGGAGACACCAGGAGUCAGCGGGCCCCUGGGAAGGAACCUUCAGGCAAGAAGGCUGCCAGUGGUCUCCUUGCUUUCCUCCUGGGGAGUCGGAGGAGGGCAGUGGGCCAAAGCGCCGGGGCAGGCAAACUCCUGCACGCAGAGGAUGGCGUAUUCAGAGGCAAUCGUUGCAGCACUGUUUACGACACAGAAGAUUGGGAAGAAGCACAGCAGCCUAUCAGGAGAAACUGGUUAAGUAAAUGACCGGGAUUGCACUUUCAUACAGGGGGUCACCGUAAAGUCAGCAAAAAGAAUGAGCAGUUUUGUCCAUACGGACGUGAUCUCCACAAUACAUUAAGUGGAAGAA
Long non-coding RNA from Leopardus geoffroyi (Geoffroy's cat), 615 nucleotides. RefSeq lists it as uncharacterized. Lineage: Eukaryota; Metazoa; Chordata; Mammalia; Carnivora; Felidae. The transcript has 2 exons. The record is from RefSeq and is a predicted model, not a curated record.